UACACACCGCCCGUCACACCAUGGGAGUGGGUUGCUCCAGAAGGCGUUAGUCUAACCGCAAGGAGAACGACGCCCACGGAGUGGUUCAUGACUGGGGUG
RNAcentral lists this ribosomal RNA (99 nucleotides) under uncultured bacterium. Its description in RNAcentral is "partial 16S ribosomal RNA". It matches the Rfam family "Bacterial small subunit ribosomal RNA", at positions 1384 to 1482 of the family's 1533-position model. The record is from RNAcentral.